AGUGAACGCUGGCGGUAGGCCUAACACAUGCAAGUCGAACGGCAGCACAGUAAGAGCUUGCUCUUACGGGUGGCGAGUGGCGGACGGGUGAGGAAUACAUCGGAAUCUACUUUUUCGUGGGGGAUAACGUAGGGAAACUUACGCUAAUACCGCAUACGACCUACGGGUGAAAGCAGGGGAUCUUCGGACCUUGCGCGAUUGAAUGAGCCGAUGUCGGAUUAGCUAGUUGGCGGGGUAAAGGCCCACCAAGGCGACGAUCCGUAGCUGGUCUGAGAGGAUGAUCAGCCACACUGGAACUGAGACACGGUCCAGACUACUACGGGAGGCAGCAGUGGGGAAUAUUGGACAAUGGGCGCAAGCAUGAUCCAGCCAUACCGCGUGGGUGAAGAAGGCCCUCGGGUUGUAAAGCCCUUUUGUUGGGAAAGAAAAGCAGCAGGUUAAUACCCCGCUGUUCUGACGGUACCCAAAGAAUAAGCACCGGCUAACUUCGUG
Molecule: ribosomal RNA, 492 nt
Filed under: uncultured bacterium
Lineage: Bacteria
Description: partial 16S ribosomal RNA
Rfam family: Bacterial small subunit ribosomal RNA
Source: RNAcentral